CGCUAUCAUCACGCAGACUGUUACAUACCCAGUCUAUCAUCCUCCAAGACUCCUCACUCUGUUCUUUAUUUCAAAAUCAUUAUCAAUCUCCAGAUGAUACGAGAUCAAUGGCCUUGGUACCUAUCAAUGACCUAAACUAUUCACAUUCAGUUCUGGCGAAUCAACUUCCCUAAUCUACCCAUGAAAGAACGGGUAAUCAGGGUUUAUACUUUGGUGUUUCGUCACUUGCUCUUUCAGCCACUUCAUCUCUCCGCUCUCUCUGCAAAUGAAAUGUGGCGGCGGAGAGGCUCGGGGGAUAAUUCUCCAGAGUCUGAUCAAAUAAGUGAUGGUCAGAGUUCGAGUAACGAGGUACAGGAAGUUGCUGUUGAUACAUAUCGAAUUACAACUUUACAAGGCUUGGCUUCACGUUGCUGCGCUAACUUGGGUAAGGAUCAAUGGCCUUGGUACCUGUCAAAACAGGCUACACAGGAUCACCUAUGGCGGUAUUCGUUAUGGCGUGGUCAUCCAUGGGCAGGCCAGGUUAUUUGAUAAAUUAACAUCUAUCUACAAAAACAUAUGUUAAUUAUCUUGAGAUAGAUUUUGUUUGAUAUGAUGGGUUUGUUUUUGAGUGUUUUAUUCGGACGCCUUCUCUGCUUUUACACUCCUUCAUAACAGUAAGUGGUUGUCACUCUGCAUAUUAAGCGGUAAAAGUCAGUAGUAAAAUAUACUGCAUGUAUUCGUCCUGCAUGUUAGUUAUAUCAGAAUUUAUCAGAUGUUCACCCUCGCUGAGUGGGCAAUCCGCAUCAACCCCUGGAAUGUUGAGUCAACUGCAGAGGCAAUGAAUGAGGCAAUAUUCAUGGCUGAAUAUGAAAAACAACUGCGACAUGAAAUACAUUAUCGGUUUAAUUAUACUUUGAGUUUCUAUAUCAUAUCUGCAUCAUGGGUAAUUAUACUUUCAUUUUCAUACAUCUCAUCGGUUUAAUUAAUUGCAGUUAACAUGUUUGUUUAAAGAUUUGAGAGCUUUUUUUUUAUAUUGUUUCGAUGAUUAAUGUUAAAGACGAGCAUCCAAUUUGUGAUUAUGGGUUUAGUUGUGAUUGAGUUCUUCAUUUUGAUCGGUAUGUUUCGGUCAGAUUUUGCCAAAAGCGGCCUACCUACAACAAGAAACUGUCCAAGGGAUUUCUUUAUUUUAUACGGGGUACAGGCUCUUACCGCAGUGUGAUCCCUCUCCUGGCUCAUAGUUAUUGCAGUGGGAGUAAGUUGUGCAGAUGUUUGUUUGGACUCUGGCUUCCCAACUCAAUCAUUUCAACUGGAGAGAAGAUGAAGUGUUAUCGAGAUGUGCUGAGGAUGUUCGUGGUGGUUGUUGGUCCGAUGCAGCUCUAUUUCUUAUCGAAACGUGAGGAUGUGAAGCCACCAUUUCUUCCACGGAAUCCUUCCCGAUAGACAAGUGUGUUGCAUAUGGAACUUCUUGAAGAUCAGUUACAAAAGUAGGAGUUGAUCAAGUCCUCUCAUUUCGGGUUCAUUUUCUUGAGUACUAUUGGGUUUAUUGAGUCAUCUCAUUUUGAGGUUUUGAAUGUUUCAUGUUAUUUCUUUGCAUUCACUAAGUGUGUUCUUAUUAUUUCAUAUUCCAAUUUGUUUUGCUUCACAGUGGAUUUGUCAAAUAUUUAUGGUGGUUCAUUCCACGAAAAAUGGAAUGGACUUGGCAACUUGAUAGGCAAGAAAGUUGUUGCAGCAGUGGGCCUUGGGCCAUAGGAACCAUCAUUCUACUUGGCUACAAAAGGUGGAGUAGUACUUCUACAAGGGAUGAUCCCAAACACUGACAUGAUCAUAAGGAGCAACUCAGUAUCAAUCCAGCUAAUGAAUUCACCUGGUGCUCCAAUUAGUCAAGUUGGUAAUGUUAUAUGUCAACAGAAUGACAACCGUACAACACUGUACAUGCAUUUGUGGAACCAAGUAGUCGUUGUUGUCAUGUAUGCAAGGAUUGUCAAUCAUUUGUGAUGAAACGAUGUCAUUGGAUGAAACAUUAUACUCAUAUCUUGAGGUUGGAGCGCCUCUAACAGCUGGAUGUGAAAAUUGAUCGACUUUUGGUCUUUGCUAACAAAUUUAACAAAAUUCAAGGUAUGUUAACUAAUUAAGUAAUUAAGCUUAAUGUUUGCUGUCUUUUUAUCAUUUUAUUCCUUCUUAUGUACCGUUAAAAUAAGAAGUCAUACACUUUCAAGCCAUGAAGUCACCAAAUAAACCUCUGCCUCUUGAAAAGAGAAAAGCUUAAGGAAAUGCUCUGCCGAUGGGUAUAUAUAUUUGUGUGGUAUUUAUUUGUUAUAAUAUUAUAGUAAAUGGAGGAAAUACUAUAAUCCAAACAAGAGAAGAUAGAUUCUAAAAGCUUACAGGGUUCUGUUUCUUUUCGAUUUUUGCUGCCGAAAGAUAGAUUUGAUUUUGAAUAAUUGUAUUGGUUGUUAAAAUCUGAAUAUUAGAUGGGAUCUAGACUUAUAUUAUCACCACAACA
Daucus carota subsp. sativus is the source of this 2479-nucleotide RNA transcript. RefSeq lists it as uncharacterized. The record is from RefSeq and is a predicted model, not a curated record. Lineage: Eukaryota; Viridiplantae; Streptophyta; Magnoliopsida; Apiales; Apiaceae. The transcript has 7 exons.